Molecule: ribosomal RNA, 246 nt
Filed under: uncultured bacterium
Lineage: Bacteria
Description: partial 16S ribosomal RNA
Rfam family: Bacterial small subunit ribosomal RNA
Source: RNAcentral
UGGGUAACCUGCCUCAAAGAGGGGAAUAGCCUCCCGAAAGGGAGAUUAAUACCGCAUAAUAUGUUUAAGUCGCAUGACUUUAACACCAAAGGAUUUUCUUUUAGAAAUUCCACUUUGAGAUGGACCCGCGGCGCAUUAGCUAGUUGGUGAGGUAAUGGCUCACCAAGGCGACGACGGGUAGCCGGCCUGAGAGGGCGAUCGGCCACACUGGGACUGAGACACGGUCCAGACUCCUACGGGAGGNAG